CGUGCGCGCACGCACGUACGCACGCACGCACGCGCGCGCGCGCGAGCAGCCCGAGUGCCCCCGCCCUCUGCGUGGGCCGCCGCGGCCAGCCCGACAGCGAGCUCUCUCCACUUUUCGCCGGCCGCUUCUUCCCGCCUGGGAGCGAGCCUCAGUCGCCUUUCUUGAAAUCCGGAUUUAAGGCAGCUCUUUUCAUCAGCCGGGCUCUCGAGAGAUUGGCCAUCCGAGAGCCAGCCAACCCAGAACCUCAUCGCCUCUGUCAAACUGUCAAAAUCUGCUUUUCCUUUAAAGCGCUUCCUUCUUGAGACCGGGGUCACACGCUGUUGUAGCCCCUAAGCUGUUCUGAAACUCCCCAGGUUUUUAUGCCUAGUAAUUGAAAGCCUAGGCUAAUUGUGCUGCACAGAUGAAGAGUUCUAUAAGGAAAAAUAAAAGUACACAUGGGAUGGUUAAUUGUCUUUGUCAACUUGGCGGGAUGAAGAAUCGCAGUGGGAAUACCUCUGGGUGCAUGUCUGAGAAGAUGUUUCUAGAAGAAAGAGAAGCCUGUGGAUGUGGGCGGCCCCAUUGGGGUCUUGAGCUGAAUAAAAUUGAGAAAGGUCACUGAGCAU
Long non-coding RNA from Mastomys coucha (southern multimammate mouse), 602 nucleotides. RefSeq lists it as uncharacterized. Lineage: Eukaryota; Metazoa; Chordata; Mammalia; Rodentia; Muridae. The record is from RefSeq and is a predicted model, not a curated record. The transcript has 2 exons.